RNAcentral lists this ribosomal RNA (253 nucleotides) under uncultured bacterium. Its description in RNAcentral is "partial 16S ribosomal RNA". It matches the Rfam family "Bacterial small subunit ribosomal RNA", at positions 524 to 776 of the family's 1533-position model. The record is from RNAcentral.
GACAGAGGUGGCAAGCGUUGUUCGGAUUUAUUGGGUGUAAAGGGCAGGUAGGUGGUCGGGUAAGUCCGGCGUGAAAUCCCAUGGCUCAACCGUGGAACUGCGUUGGAAACUGCCUGACUUGAGUACCGGAGAGGUGAAGGGAAUUCUCGGUGUAAGGGUGAAAUCUGUAGAUAUCGAGAGGAACACCAGUGGCGAAGGCGGGUUGCUGGGCCGACACUGACGCUGAUGCGCGAAAGCUAGGGGAGCGAACGGG